This 1314-nucleotide long non-coding RNA is filed under the name Podarcis muralis (Common wall lizard). RNAcentral describes it as "lncRNA (ENSPMRG00000016465.1)". Lineage: Eukaryota; Metazoa; Chordata; Lepidosauria; Squamata; Lacertidae. The record is from RNAcentral.
AUGGAAUGUGCCCUCUCAAAACCACCAACUGUCUCCUUGUUUUGUUUUCUCCCAGAAUUAUUUAGGUUUAAAGGAUUUGGGAGCUUGAGUAGCAUUCCACGGACGUUCACCUUGCGGCGUGUCUCUGUUGCCCCCAGCACUCCACAGGCCCCUGGAGGGGGGCUCCUGUCCUCAAAUGGCUUCAUGGCAACCACCAUUGAAGGCACGCAGGACGACUUGAAUACUGUUCCCAAAAGCCCGUCCCCAUACGCUCGGUCAUGCGACAUGUACAGCCACAUGGGGACUAUGCCACGGGGCAGCUCCAGGAAGUCGAAGGCUAAGGCCAAAGACAAAGGCACGCCCAAGGAGAAGGAUCAAGAUGCAGGGUCACAAAUUGGCCUGGCACCUUCUCCCCACAAAAACUCUCCUUUCGUAGCUAAGGAAGCAAAGCAGAAGCAAAAAUUGCCUCCAUCCAAAGCGGACCACAGUCAGGCCCACACCCAAUAUGUGAGGCCCACCACCAUGGUCAACUCCUCAAACUCUUUUCCAGAGCACAGCCAAGCUUCUGCUGAAGGACUCCCAAAGGAAACAGUGAGGAGAAAGGAGGACUUUCUUCAGGUGCCUGGGAAGUCCUCCCCCAAGAGAGCGCAGGACGACUUGAAUCCUGCACCCAAAAGCCCAUCGCCACAUGCCCGCUCAUGCGAUAUGUCCAGCCACGUGGGGACCAUUCCACGAAGCAGUUCUGGAAAGUUGAGGGGAAAGGCCAAAGGCAAAGGGGCCCCUCAGGAGGCUGAGCCAACCACCGCCCCAGAGCCCAGCUUGAUAGCUGUGGCACCUUCUCCCAGAAAAGAUACCCCUAUGAUAGCUGAGGACGCAGAGCAGAAAGCAAAAAUGCCCCCAUCUGAACCCAAACACAGCCAGGCCUGCUCCCAAACCAUGAGGCAGGCUGUCGCGAUCAACACCUCAGACUCUCUUCCUGAGCCCAGGCAGACUUCUGAGGGACCCAAAGAGAAGACGAAGAGGAACAAGCAGGACUCUCCCCAUAUGCCCAGGAAGCUCAGCUCUGAAACUGUGCGGGACGACUUGAAUACUGUGCCAAAAAGCCCGUCCCCAUAUGCCUACUCAGGCGAUAUGCACAGCCACAUAGGGACCUUGCCAAGAGCCAACUCUGGGUGCUCAAGGAGGCAGUCCAAAGAGGAAUCAGUGAGGUGUGAGCAGGAUUCUGUUCAGGUCCCUCGAAAAGCUGCCAAUACGGAAGCUCCCAAAGAACCUAUCCUGUCUGGAGGGCGAGCGCCUGGAGAGGAAGCCCUUCGAGAACACUUAGACAAGAGGUAA